RNAcentral lists this ribosomal RNA (1469 nucleotides) under Mycobacterium sp. DFTK7. RNAcentral's name for it is "bacterial SSU rRNA". It matches the Rfam family "Bacterial small subunit ribosomal RNA". The record is from RNAcentral. Lineage: Bacteria; Bacillati; Actinomycetota; Actinomycetes; Mycobacteriales; Mycobacteriaceae.
AGAGUUUGAUCCUGGCUCAGGACGAACGCUGGCGGCGUGCUUAACACAUGCAAGUCGAACGGUAAGGCCCUUCGGGGUACACGAGUGGCGAACGGGUGAGUAACACGUGGGUGAUCUGCCCUGCACUUUGGGAUAAGCCUGGGAAACUGGGUCUAAUACCGAAUACACCCUGCUGGUCGCAUGGCCUGGUGGGGGAAAGCUUUUGCGGUGUGGGAUGGGCCCGCGGCCUAUCAGCUUGUUGGUGGGGUGAUGGCCUACCAAGGCGACGACGGGUAGCCGGCCUGAGAGGGUGUCCGGCCACACUGGGACUGAGAUACGGCCCAGACUCCUACGGGAGGCAGCAGUGGGGAAUAUUGCACAAUGGGCGCAAGCCUGAUGCAGCGACGCCGCGUGAGGGAUGACGGCCUUCGGGUUGUAAACCUCUUUCAGUAGGGACGAAGCGUGAGUGACGGUACCUAUAGAAGAAGCACCGGCCAACUACGUGCCAGCAGCCGCGGUAAUACGUAGGGUGCGAGCGUUGUCCGGAAUUACUGGGCGUAAAGAGCUCGUAGGUGGUUUGUCGCGUUGUUCGUGAAAACUCACAGCUUAACUGUGGGCGUGCGGGCGAUACGGGCAGACUGGAGUACUGCAGGGGAGACUGGAAUUCCUGGUGUAGCGGUGGAAUGCGCAGAUAUCAGGAGGAACACCGGUGGCGAAGGCGGGUCUCUGGGCAGUAACUGACGCUGAGGAGCGAAAGCGUGGGGAGCGAACAGGAUUAGAUACCCUGGUAGUCCACGCCGUAAACGGUGGGUACUAGGUGUGGGUUUCCUUCCUUGGGAUCCGUGCCGUAGCUAACGCAUUAAGUACCCCGCCUGGGGAGUACGGCCGCAAGGCUAAAACUCAAAGGAAUUGACGGGGGCCCGCACAAGCGGCGGAGCAUGUGGAUUAAUUCGAUGCAACGCGAAGAACCUUACCUGGGUUUGACAUGCACAGGACGCCGGCAGAGAUGUCGGUUCCCUUGUGGCCUGUGUGCAGGUGGUGCAUGGCUGUCGUCAGCUCGUGUCGUGAGAUGUUGGGUUAAGUCCCGCAACGAGCGCAACCCUUGUCUCAUGUUGCCAGCACGUUAUGGUGGGGACUCGUGAGAGACUGCCGGGGUCAACUCGGAGGAAGGUGGGGAUGACGUCAAGUCAUCAUGCCCCUUAUGUCCAGGGCUUCACACAUGCUACAAUGGCCGGUACAAAGGGCUGCGAUGCCGUGAGGUGGAGCGAAUCCUUUCAAAGCCGGUCUCAGUUCGGAUCGGGGUCUGCAACUCGACCCCGUGAAGUCGGAGUCGCUAGUAAUCGCAGAUCAGCAACGCUGCGGUGAAUACGUUCCCGGGCCUUGUACACACCGCCCGUCACGUCAUGAAAGUCGGUAACACCCGAAGCCGGUGGCCUAACCCCUUGUGGGAGGGAGCCGUCGAAGGUGGGAUCGGCGAUUGGGACGAAGUC